This is an RNA transcript of Wasmannia auropunctata (little fire ant), 3112 nucleotides long. It is a transcript of the gene named WD repeat-containing protein wdr-5.3-like, with no coding region annotated. NCBI's taxonomy places the organism in Eukaryota, Metazoa, Arthropoda, Insecta, Hymenoptera, Formicidae. The transcript is spliced from 9 exons. The record is from RefSeq and is a predicted model, not a curated record.
CUCUGAUAUCGCAUAUACCGCGAUCGUCGUUUUGAGUUUUUAACAUUUCAAAAAUCAUAAUCCAAAUUCCAGUUUCCUGAUAAGCCACAGCAACUUUCGGCUUGAAUAUCAACAAAUUUCUAAGUUAAACAUUAUAAAUAUAACACUUUAUAAAGUUAUAUUUGUACAAGCAACACAUACGUGUAGUUUGUAACAUCUGCACUCUGCGUUGAUAUUAAGUGGAAACUUUUCAUACAUAAUAUACAAUAAGAUGGAUAAUGACAAGAAUAAUGAACAAUUCUCCCGUAUUACCAUUAAUUCAUCCAUUCAAAACGAUACCAGCGAAAUUGAUUUCGAUGUGACACCUACAACUUCGGCAUCAAUCGUCACCCAUGAGGAAUACCUUCCUUCAUCAGCAUCAAUGCCAGCUGUCUCCGAUAUCGAGCAUCGUUAUCAAUUAAUCGGCAAUAUCAAUGUUGUUAAUCAAAUGUUUAUGUUACACAGCUAUUUCCAUUCGAAAUAAGUUGCAAACAGUUUGCAGGGAAGUUAAUCAAGAUGUGCUUUGCAUCUGCUAUACGGAAACUUACGACUUUUUGGCGGCAGGGCUGACGGACGGGAACCUAAAGUUAUACAAAGUUAGCACAGGGGAGAACACGCUGAUUCUAUGCGAUGCGGAGAUGAUGCAGAAUCCGGCUCCGGUGACCGCUGUAAAGCAUCGACCAGUGCGUAGAUCACACCCGAUCACUCGCACUAUGAUAGCGACUUAUGCCAACGGCUGCAUUAAAUGUUGGCAUUAUCCUACCGCACAAUGCCUUUACACGAUACGGGAAAGACGACAAACGCUCGGUCUGGCUUACCAUCCUCAAUUACCGAAGUUCGUCACUGUCGGGGAUGAUACAAAUUUAUAUUUGUACGAUGAAGAAACGAAGACGCGGGAGAGAGUGUUUUGCGGAAGUGACGCGCUGGAUGUUAUGGAUGGUCAUAAAUCCAGAGUUUUUAGCGCCUGCUUCAAUCCCAAAUCCGCGUACGAGCUGAUAAGCGCUGGCUGGGACGACACCAUCCAGUUCUGGGACACUCGACAAGCUCAUUCCCUUCGAUUUAUAUCGGGUGUACAUAUGUGCGGGGACGGCCUAGACAUCAGUAGAAAUGGGAAAGAGAUCCUGACUUGUUCCUGGCAGAAGGACAAUCCUUUGCAAUUGUGGGACUACGGUAGCGGUAAAUUGAUCAUCACUUUGGAACCAGACAGUUACUCUUCUUUAUUGUACGUUGGAAAAUACAUAACAAAUAUGUACAUUGCAUGCGGUGGCUGCGACACUGAUCUUUUCAGAAUCGUCGAUUUACGAUCUCGUUCUACCAUAGCUAUGAUCAAAUAUUUCAAGGGUGGUGUGUAUAGUUUGGAUGUCGGCCCGUUAGAAAGGAAAUACAGUAAACGGAUUCUCCCAAAGCUCGCAUUUUGUGCCGGAACAACGAUUUUUGAAGUAGACGCCCAGCCUGGUUGACUGAUUUAUAUAUAUGCAAUUUACUACUUGCACCAUAGACAAUACGUCCUGUUUCGUAAUACUUUUGCGGCAAUUAACGUGAUUGGGUAUCCGAGCCACAUCGGAAUUCCAAUGGAUAUCUUCUCUGGAAAGAAAUGACACGUGCACUCAAGCAAUAAACAAUCAAGUUCUCGUAUCGAGCGAACGCACACACUUAAGCAAGACUUAAGAGGCGAGGGGCGGAUUUGGAGCGAACAGGUUGAAGGAACAGGGGCAUUAGGGGACAUCGUGGGACAAUCACUAAAACUGAGCACAUCGAUUUGUGACAAUACAAACUUACUUGACACGAGCAAAUCCAUCGGUUGACAAGCGAUACGUGGUAGAAAAAGAAAAGAUUGCUCGCGCACACAAACACGGUGAGAGAGCAGAAAGCGCAUCGCAUUUUUUUUCUCCUUUUCUUUUUCUUUUCUCAGUACUCGCGCCGUAGACGACACGUCCUGUUUCGUAAUACUUUUGCGGCGAUUAGCGUGAUCGGGUAACCGAGCCACAUCGGAAUUCCAUACGGGAAUCCAGUGGAUAUCUUGUGCAUUCAAGUAUAUACUCCAAACUCGACGAUUACGUCGGGCAACAUUUCGAGACUUUGAAACUUCGCUCCUCGCAACUCUUGCGCUUAAAAAGAGGGGACGAGUCACCUCCGGCGGCGAGACAUCGCAGAGAAAAAAAAAAACAGAUCCUCCUCCUCCUAAAUCGCAUCCAAUUGUACUUAAUCUGUAUAAGUAGAUAAUAGUUAAUCUCUAGGUGCGAUCCAACAGACUAUUUGGGAAACUACUAUAUUCCAGGACAUCUUUCGCCCGCAUCUACAAUCUAAACGAUCAACGAGCCUAAUUUGGUUUGAGAAACGUGUUUGUAAUAAAAUAUAUUUAUACACGAUAAUCGCGACGCGCUUGCGAAGCGCCUUUUAGCAGCGGUCGCAUUCGUCAGAGUACAUCAGAGUAUAAAAUUGGUCGUCAUAAAUUUGCGCGGUUAAAUCGGGUUUCCUUCGUUUCUUUUUUUUUUGUCUAACUAAAUCCCGCGACGCGCGUAUGGGAACGCGCGCGAUUUACAAAAUUAAUGAUGAGUCGGUGAUAUGUGUUUAAAAAAAUAUUGACACUUAGAUACAAUGUGCUCUAGGGUCGAUCAAUGGAGAAGUACGCGUAUGCACUCAUGAGGAUCAACAUAUCCUUCCACGCUAUUUCGUCAUACCGUCUCGACUUACGCGAGUUCACGGCGGGACUUCCUGAUGCACUAUCAUCGCUGCAUCGUCAGCCGUUGAAAAGCGUUACACGAUCAACCGAUCUGAAUUAAUUGAGAUAAAGACAAUCUAUAGUAGUAGGAGUACAAAGAGCAAGUUAAUAACAAUAAAUGAGUAAGAGAGGUACCUAGAUUCGCGAGAACAACGGUCGUUUCAACGCUACGAGGCUCUCCUGGAUCGCAAAUAGCAGAGAGAUGCAAUCCAUAUAACCGUAUGUCGUAAAUAGGAGGCGGCAGGUCUCAAGCUCGAUGAGAAUCUAACAAGAUCUGAUUCGUUAAAAUCGAAAUUGUUGUUGCGGCAUCUAUCACACGUUUCUGGGUAAGAGAUACGUAUAAUAUUAAAUUAUUUUUAUCCUACAAUUUAA